GCCUCUCUAGCUCAGCCUGGAAGAGCGCCGUCGUGAAAAGGCGGGCGUCCCUGGUUCAAAUCCAGGGGGAGGCACCA
Molecule: transfer RNA, 77 nt
Filed under: uncultured Chloroflexota bacterium
Lineage: Bacteria; Bacillati; Chloroflexota
Description: uncultured Chloroflexi bacterium tRNA-Phe-GAA
Rfam family: tRNA
About the family: Transfer RNA (tRNA) molecules are approximately 80 nucleotides in length.
Source: RNAcentral